This 68-nucleotide small RNA is filed under the name Acididesulfobacillus acetoxydans. Its description in RNAcentral is "Peptococcaceae bacterium INE non-coding RNA". Lineage: Bacteria; Bacillati; Bacillota; Clostridia; Eubacteriales; Peptococcaceae. The record is from RNAcentral.
GUUUCAAUUCCUCAUAGGCAGGCUAUCGGCACGGCCAUUCUUGAUUCCUCCUUUAAAUUCGGGUUUCG